GUGGAGAAUAUUGCGCAAUGGGCGAAAGCCUGACGCAGCGACGCCGCGUGAGGGAUGAAGGUUUUCGGAUCGUAAACCUCUGUCAGAAGGGAAGAAACUACGUUGUGCUAAUCAGCAGCGUACUGACGGUACCUUCAAAGGAAGCACCGGCUAACUCCGUGCCAGCAGCCGCGGUAAUACGGAGGGUGCAAGCGUUAAUCGGAAUUACUGGGCGUAAAGCGCACGUAGGCUGUAGUGUAAGUCAGGGGUGAAAUCCCACGGCUCAACCGUGGAACUGCCUUUGAUACUGCACAACUUGAAUCCGGGAGAGGGUGGCGGAAUUCCAGGUGUAGGAGUGAAAUCCGUAGAUAUCUGGAGGAACAUCAGUGGCGAAGGCGGCCACCUGGACCGGUAUUGACGCUGAGGUGCGAAAGCGUGGGGAGCAAACAG
RNAcentral lists this ribosomal RNA (429 nucleotides) under uncultured bacterium. RNAcentral's name for it is "bacterial SSU rRNA". It matches the Rfam family "Bacterial small subunit ribosomal RNA", at positions 354 to 775 of the family's 1533-position model. The record is from RNAcentral.